AGAGUUUGAUCCUGGCUCAGAUUGAACGCUGGCGGCAUGCCUAACACAUGCAAGUCGAACGGUAACAGGUCUUCGGAUGCUGACGAGUGGCGGACGGGUGAGUAAUGCGUAGGAAUCUGUCUUUUAGUGGGGGACAACCCAGGGAAACUUGGGCUAAUACCGCAUGAGCCCUGAGGGGGAAAGCGGGGGUCGUUCGGACCUCGCGCUAAGGGAAGGAGCCUACGUCUGAUUAGUCUAGUUGGUAGGGUAAAGGGACCUACCAAGGCGACGAUCAGUAGCUGGUC
Molecule: ribosomal RNA, 284 nt
Filed under: uncultured prokaryote
Description: partial 16S ribosomal RNA
Rfam family: Bacterial small subunit ribosomal RNA
Source: RNAcentral